ACAGAUAAUUCAAGGCCUGCAAUAAACAAAAAGGAAUUCUGGGAGACAAGCCAAUAGACAGUCAAACUCCAACCAACCUGGGGAUGGAACCUGUGACUCCGGGGUAGUUAAGAAGCUAACAACUCGACUGAGCCACUUCCAAUGCCUCCUACAGUCUAAGUGAAAGCUAUCUUCCCGACAAAGAUAUCUACACAGAGAGCCAGCUCUCUCUGCAAGGCCUUUCCUAAGAAAAUCCUUCUGGUGUUGUGGUGAUGCCAAGCUUUGUGACUAGAAGCCAAAAGUGAGCAAGGAUGGUGGAAUAUAAUGCCAUUCCUGGAUAAUGAUGGACUGCUAUGAAUCGGUGCUGCAAAAACCAUCAGUGGAACGGAAAGGAGAUAAUGUGGGCAACCAAAUGAAGAAUUAGCCUAGAACACCAGGACAAAUAUCUGCAAAGGAGCACAAGGAGUAGAUUCCUUUUGGUUACGGUCAAUGGUCUGUAUUAGAGCUCUGAUGGUAUAUCUAUAAUAUGAGAAGGGACCUUAGACAUCUGUCUGCUUUUCCCACCUUGCUCACUCUCACUAUAUUUUAUCUGAAAUGGGAAACAAUCUCUGCUCAGGCGAAUCCAUGGGGCCAAUGUAGCGUUAUUUGAAGAUUCUGGAGGGGGCAAAACAGGGCUGCUUAGGAUCUCCACGUGGCUCAUCAUUCUUUCAUUGGGAGUUAACACUUGGAGGCUUUUCUGCUUCUGGGAUUUACUCAACACAUGCUUUUCACUCCUGCAGCAGAGCGGGACCAAGCCUGCAAAAAGCCAGGAGAUCUACGAAUCCCUCAGACUCACGAAACUAGAGUGAAAUCAGAAAUCUUCUCUGCUAGGUCACCUCAUCCCUGUCACUGAUUCUUUCUACUGUUUGCU
Molecule: long non-coding RNA, 889 nt
Filed under: Equus caballus (horse)
Lineage: Eukaryota; Metazoa; Chordata; Mammalia; Perissodactyla; Equidae
Description: lncRNA (ENSECAG00000058009.1)
Source: RNAcentral